Molecule: long non-coding RNA, 1353 nt
Filed under: Myripristis murdjan (pinecone soldierfish)
Lineage: Eukaryota; Metazoa; Chordata; Actinopteri; Holocentriformes; Holocentridae
Description: lncRNA (ENSMMDG00005002419.1)
Source: RNAcentral
UUAGGACGGAAGUUAACAUAAAAAGCCACGGAUAUAUCGAUUCGUAAUGCCUCGACAAAAACGAGAAAAUGUCGAUAGUUAUCCUGUGUUCAUCAAGUCUGAAUGUGUACACACGUUAACACGGAGCCACAGCUACCAGCAUUAGCUAACUUAUCUGACGUUACAGGUACUGGUGGCAAAUGGCAACUCAGCGUCUGCAAGUUAGCAAUGGCUUCUCGGAAGUUUAUGGAUCACGUUGCUGCAACUAAAACAGACGAACAGGAGGAGAAAUAUUUCUGGCCAGUGAUGGACAUACUUUGCCUACAAAACUAUACAUUUUCAACGGCUGGCGACGAAUGAUGAGGCUUUUGUAAUCCCUUGUGUGGCAGUUGGAGUCGAGAGUUGGCAAGUUGGUCGAGUUCCUUUCACAGACUGGAAACAUGCUUUAGAGACAUUCAAAAACCCAUCCAUCAAAACCCACAUCUUAUCACAACUAGGCAUGUCUCAAAGGUAACCAUUUCAAAAAUUAAAGACUUUCUCUGAUGCAAGAUUCAGGAAAAAGCCGAAGAAAACAGCAACUUUGAUUUUCGCUGCCUCCAACAAAUCGCCUCAAAGGGUUAAACUGAUAAGGGGCCAGAGGCAUUCAGCAAACAUGGUGACGGGAACUUCAUUGCCUUACUCAGGUUGAGAGCUGCACCUGGUGACAGUAAAUGUGCAAAUGACGCCAGCUGCAUUCCCGAAAAGCAAAACAAAAAAGUCCUGGGUUGGAUAUUACAGCCAGCAAAAUGGUCAACAAUCAUAAAACAACACCCGGCAAAAGCUUAGUUAGUGCACGAUUUAACUUUGCUACAAUCAAAAGAACGUCACAGCAAACGGUUGUAUGACCUCAAAUGCCAGCAUGAUGGAGAACUGAUCUGAAAUGCCACAUCUGAGAGGAAGAAAGAGUGGACUGGCACUUACUCUCAGACGACAGAGACGCUUUGUUGACGUCAUAAGAGGUCGUGGAUGUGUGGAAAAAGACGAAUGGACCAGGGCAUUACGAGCUGAAGAAAAUGAUGUUGCCUAUCAUCUGUGUAUACCACCAUCUAGAGACAAGGUCGACGGGCAGACAGAUCAAGGAGUUCCUUCAAACGUUUCUCUCAUUUUUGCUGAUAUUAUCAUACACAUUCCUCUCACUACUUAGCAAAGCACUCAAUCCUUGACAAGGUCUGGCUGCCAAUUAAGAUUACUGUCUUGAUCUGUCUCACUAUUUCUCUCUCUGCCCUAGAUGAUUGACACUGGCUUUUCCUCUGUUACUUUUUGGCCAUAGUAAACCUUAAAUUCAUAAUAAUCCUGAAGGAAUGAGUGGCAUUCUCUGUAUCAGGCCAUGCCAGC